CCUACAUCCUUGCGCCGCGGCUUAGCUUCGCUAAUCAUACUUAUUGCCUGGCGCAUCUGAAAGGCGCGGAGCGCAUGCGUCUUCAACGAAGCAACCCCCUCGAUCCCACUCUUCGUCAAUGACAUCAAGGAAGAUGCCCGCAACUGGGCCGCCACCGGAGCCAAGGGGCUCAGCAACCUGCUCCCGCCCACGUAG
RNAcentral lists this ribosomal RNA (195 nucleotides) under Triticum aestivum (bread wheat). Its description in RNAcentral is "partial small subunit ribosomal RNA". Lineage: Eukaryota; Viridiplantae; Streptophyta; Magnoliopsida; Poales; Poaceae. The record is from RNAcentral.